Molecule: ribosomal RNA, 253 nt
Filed under: uncultured prokaryote
Description: partial 16S ribosomal RNA
Rfam family: Bacterial small subunit ribosomal RNA
Source: RNAcentral
ACGGAGGGUGCGAGCGUUGUCCGGAAUCACUGGGCGUAAAGGGCGCGCAGGCGGCGGUUCAAGUCAGAUGUGAAAGCCCCGGGCUCAACCUGGGAACUGCAUUUGAGACUGGGCUGCUAGAGUUCGGGAGAGGAGAGUGGAAUUCCCAGUGUAGAGGUGAAAUUCGUAGAUAUUGGGAAGAACACCGGUGGCGAAGGCGGCUCUCUGGACCGAGACUGACGCUGAGGCGCGAAAGCGUGGGGAGCAAACAGGA